Long non-coding RNA from Nymphaea colorata (pocket water lily), 899 nucleotides. RefSeq lists it as uncharacterized. Lineage: Eukaryota; Viridiplantae; Streptophyta; Magnoliopsida; Nymphaeales; Nymphaeaceae. The transcript has 4 exons. The record is from RefSeq and is a predicted model, not a curated record.
UCAAAUUUCUCGUUUCCUUUUUUCGUUUUCGGCGCACUCUCCUCUCCGACUCUCCCUCUCUCGCCUGAUGCCUCUCGGUCUCUCCGUCUCCGACUUUUCCAGUUUUCCUUCUCUUCUCUUCAGUCUUCUCUAGUUCUGUCGUCUGGGAGUCUCCGACGUCUGCAGACUUUCAGGUUCUCUGACAAUCUCAUCUCCGCUUAUCGGUUUUGUUAUGCUUUCCAUGCUUCGAAGACGGCGAAAUGCUGUAAAAUAGUAUAGGAAAUGCCGGUUGUGCCAUGAUCCGAGCUAAUGCAGUUUCUAGAUUCCCAAGGUUUUCUUGAUUUUUUGGUGAGGUGUACUCACUCUGAUGAGAAUAGCAACAAUCUUCUUGACAAGUUGCAAGAUGCAUUUGGGAGAGGCUAGAACCCUUCCUCUGUUCUUCCCAUGAUUUCAUCUGAGCUUGCAACACUAACAAUAGCUUGAAAAAGAUUCAACUAAGGAUUAGAACAAACCCCCAACUUCGUUGAGUGGCUGCCUUAGAUUGUGAGAUGGUUGGAGGGGGGAGCGAUGGAACAUUGGAUCUUUAUGCAAGGAAUUUGUCUUGUUGAUGAAGUCAAAGAAGUGCUUUUUCUGGCCUAUGUCCAACAUGAGAUUGUUGUCUCAGAUUAUAGAAGUGAAAUUACUGGAAUUACAGAAGCUGAUUUUGCCAAUGCAUUGCCACUGAGUCAAGUAAGAAAUAUCAUUGGAAGUAUCUUAUAGAAUGGAGAGUCAAUAGGCACUAUCCUGUCCAUUUGAUCAUUGUUGAUUUCUAAUUUUUGCUUUUAACGUUCUCCACAAUUGUAAUUUUCAGAUUACCAUAAUGGCCUUGGGGCUUGUCAGAACUUUUUUAUUAUCCCAUCUUCAAGAUUGAUUUUCAUGUA